Pelecanus crispus (Dalmatian pelican) is the source of this 46-nucleotide non-coding RNA. NCBI's taxonomy places the organism in Eukaryota, Metazoa, Chordata, Aves, Pelecaniformes, Pelecanidae. The record is from Rfam.
UUACAGGUUUUUUUUAAAACCAUCCUAAUUAAACUUGCAUUCUAUU